AUGCCUAGGAGGAAAAGAUAAUUAUUCAUAUAGGAUCACCAAGCAAAGAGAAUUAUCACUUGUGAGGACAUGUCAUCUGAGGGGUUCGUCUGGUCAACUGCUCAAGCUGGGGUUAUGCCACAAGGACAGCUGGAAGACAGGACACUUUGUCCCCCACCUCCCUGAUGACCUGAUAAUUAUGCAGACAUGGCCAUUCUGACACGUGUGAGCUGCUUGAGAAGGUGCCUAGCUGCUCUCCUAGGCGAAUUUUCCACGACUUUCUACUUGUGACCUCCUGAGGUUGGAUCCAUCACUCAAAAGGUGGGAGUGGAAGAGAAGACACCUAAUG
Molecule: non-coding RNA, 328 nt
Organism: Myodes glareolus (Bank vole)
Lineage: Eukaryota; Metazoa; Chordata; Mammalia; Rodentia; Cricetidae
Source: RefSeq, a predicted model, not a curated record